AUACGUAGGGUGCGAGCGUUGUCCGGAAUUACUGGGCGUAAAGAGCUCGUAGGUGGUUUGUCGCGUCGUCUGUGAAAUUCCGGGGCUUAACUCCGGGCGUGCAGGCGAUACGGGCAUAACUUGAGUACUGUAGGGGAGACUGGAAUUCCUGGUGUAGCGGUGAAAUGCGCAGAUAUCAGGAGGAACACCGGUGGCGAAGGCGGGUCUCUGGGCAGUAACUGACGCUGAGGAGCGAAAGCGUGGGGAGCGAACAGGAUUAGAUACCCUGGUAGUCCAUGCCGUAAACGGUGGGCGCUAGGUGUAGGGGUCUUCCACGACUUCUGUGCCGUAGCUAACGCAUUAAGCGCCCCGCCUGGGGAGUACGGCCGCAAGACUAAAACUCAAAGGAAUUGACGGGG
RNAcentral lists this ribosomal RNA (398 nucleotides) under uncultured bacterium. RNAcentral describes it as "partial 16S ribosomal RNA". It matches the Rfam family "Bacterial small subunit ribosomal RNA", at positions 523 to 918 of the family's 1533-position model. The record is from RNAcentral.